RNAcentral lists this ribosomal RNA (460 nucleotides) under uncultured bacterium. RNAcentral describes it as "partial 16S ribosomal RNA". It matches the Rfam family "Bacterial small subunit ribosomal RNA", at positions 338 to 795 of the family's 1533-position model. The record is from RNAcentral.
CCUACGGGAGGCAGCAGUGAGGAAUAUUGGUCAAUGGGCUUACGCCUGAACCAGCCAAGUCGCGUGAGGGAAGACUGCCCUAUGGGUUGUAAACCUCUUUUGUAAGGGAGCAAUUGACGCUACGUGUAGCGUUAUCGAGAAUACCUGAAGAAAAAGCAUCGGCCAACUCCGUGACAGCAGCCGCGGUAAUACGGAGGAUGCGAGCGUUAUCAGGAUGUAUUGGGUUUAAGGGGUGCGUAGGCGGAAUGCCAAGGCAACGGUAACAUCGCGGGGCUCAACCUCGCUCCGCCGUUGAAACUGGCGUUCUUGAGUGGGCGAGAAGUAUGCGGAAUGCGUGGUGUAGCGGUGAAAUGCAUAGAUAUCACGCAGAACUCCGAUUGCGAAGGCAGCAUACCGGCGCCCAACUGACGCUGAAGCACGAAAGCGUGGGUAUCGAACAGGAUUAGAUACCCUUGUAGUC